GAAAACUGAAAAGAUUCAAUCCACGACAUACUGGAUUUAAUAAGCAUUCCUAAAAAGAGGACAAAAGAGAAAAAAAAAGGGAAAAGAAAAUUAAGAAGAAAGAGGGGGGAAAAAAAAGAAAAGGAGAAAGAAAAAAAAAAAAAAAAGGAAUAGAAAAGACGAACAUCAAGGAAAGCAGCAAAUUGAGGAUUAUUAGCUUUGGAAGUAUCAAGAGCUUUGAGAGCGAUGGGUUGAUUGGCACAAUACAUUGUAUACAUUGUGUGCAUUUGGAACUGGCCCAACUGUAGAGAAAAAAAGAAAUUGAGAAAAGAAAAGAAGAAAAGAUACAAAAAAAAAAAGAGAAAGAAAGAAAGAAAGAAAAGGAAAAAAAAAGAAGAAAUAUACCGUGGAAAGAAAUGUUACACCUAAAGAGUCAAAACGACAUUUAUGGAACUUGCCAGC
RNAcentral lists this ribosomal RNA (441 nucleotides) under uncultured bacterium. RNAcentral describes it as "partial 16S ribosomal RNA". The record is from RNAcentral.